UACGUAGGCAGCGAGCGUUGUUCGGAAUUACUGGGCGUAAAGAGUGUGUAGGUGGUGCUCUAAGUUUGGUGUGAAAUCUCCCGGCUCAACCGGGAGGGUGCAUCGAAAACUGGAGUGCUAGAGGAUGGGAGAGGCAAGCGGAAUUCCUGGUGUAGCGGUGAAAUGCGUAGAUAUCAGGAGGAACACCUGUGGUGUAGACAGCUUGCUGGACCAUUUCUGACACUGAGACACGAAAGCGUGGGUAGCAAACAGG
This 253-nucleotide ribosomal RNA is filed under the name uncultured bacterium. RNAcentral's name for it is "partial 16S ribosomal RNA". It matches the Rfam family "Bacterial small subunit ribosomal RNA", at positions 524 to 776 of the family's 1533-position model. RNAcentral also lists the same sequence under 1 other name. The record is from RNAcentral.